CUACGGGAGGCUGCAGUGAGGAAUAUUGCGCAAUGGGGGGAACCCUGAUGCAGCAACGCCGCGUGGAGGAUGACGCAUUUCGGUGUGUAAACUCCUUUUAUAUGUCAAGAAAAUGACGGUAGCAUAUGAAUAAGCACCGGCUAACUCCGUGCCAGCAGCCGCGGUAAUACGGAGGGUGCAAGCGUUACUCGGAAUCACUGGGCGUAAAGGACGCGUAGGCGGGUUGGAAAGUCAGGUGUGAAAUCCUACAGCUUAACUGUAGAACUGCACUUGAAACUUCUAAUCUAGAGUAUGGGAGGGGGAGAUUGAAUUAGUGGUGUAGGGGUAAAAUCCGUAGAUAUCACUAGGAAUACCUAAAGCGAAGGCGAUCUCCUGGAACAUUACUGACGCUAAGGCGUGAAAGCGUGGGGAGCAAACAGGAUUAGAUACCCUCGUAGUC
This 439-nucleotide ribosomal RNA is filed under the name uncultured bacterium. Its description in RNAcentral is "partial 16S ribosomal RNA". It matches the Rfam family "Bacterial small subunit ribosomal RNA", at positions 339 to 795 of the family's 1533-position model. The record is from RNAcentral.